This 440-nucleotide ribosomal RNA is filed under the name uncultured bacterium. RNAcentral describes it as "partial 16S ribosomal RNA". It matches the Rfam family "Bacterial small subunit ribosomal RNA", at positions 338 to 795 of the family's 1533-position model. The record is from RNAcentral.
CCUACGGGAGGCAGCAGUGGGGGAUAUUGCACAAUGGGGGGAACCCUGAUGCAGCGACGCCGCGUGUGGGAAGACGGUCCUCUGGAUUGUAAACCACGGUCCCCAGGGACGAAAAUGACGGUACCUGGGGAGGAAGGUCCGGCUAACUACGUGCCAGCAGCCGCGGUAAUACGUAUGGAGGGAGCGUUGUCCGGAAUUACUGUGUGUAAAGGGAGCGUAGGCGGGGAUGCAAGUUGGGUGGCAAAACUACCGGCUCAACUGGUAGUCGCACUCAAAACAGCCGCUCUUGAGUGGAGUAGAGGCAUGCGGCAUUCCUAGUGUAGCGGUGAAAUGCGUAGAUAUUAGGAGGAACCCCAGUGGCGAAGGCGGCCUGCUGGGCUUUUACUGACGCUGAGGCUCGAAAGUGUGGGGAGCAAACAGGAUUAGAUACCCGAGUAGUC